This 173-nucleotide ribosomal RNA is filed under the name Ostorhinchus wassinki. RNAcentral describes it as "partial 12S rRNA". Lineage: Eukaryota; Metazoa; Chordata; Actinopteri; Kurtiformes; Apogonidae. The record is from RNAcentral.
CACCGCGGUUAUACGAGAGGCCCAAGCUGACAGUUACCGGCGUAAAGCGUGGUUAAUAACCCCCCCCCCCGAUACUAAAGCCGAACAUCUGCAAAGUUGUUUAACGCACUCGAAGAUAUGAAGACCCACCACGAAAGUGACUUUAUACCCUUGAAGCCACGAAAGCUAGGGAA